AACAGACAACACGAGCACUUCUCUACAGGGAGCGUGUUUACAUCAAGAACUUUUACAGCAGGAACACCUACCAGGAGCUGAUGCUACAGCUAAUACCGCUAAUACAGCUAAUAAUGAGUGCUAAAGUGGCUAAUCAUGCUAACUGUAGCACCACAAUGCUGAAUCGAUAUCAAGUCCAUCAUCAUGCUAAUACUGGCAGCAGAAUGAGUAUUAGCACUGCUAAUGCUAGCUCCUGACAUGGCUAAUUACUGUAUAAUUUGGGAUGCUAACUAUAGCAGCAAACAGUGAUCGGUGGUUGUGUGAGUGAUAUUUCAGGAAUCUGUUGUUUGUUUGUUUUUUUACAGUGAUUACAGACAUUAUGAUAAAUGUGAUACUGGUGCUAAUGGUGCUGCUAAUUACUGCAACGUCCUUUUACUGUAAUUACUGUCUGAGGUGAGUCUCUUUCCCCUGAAUUACUUCCAGAUUUUUCCACACGUGUCUCUUUUGUUUUUUUUUUUUGUUUUUUACACAAUAUUCAGUAUUUUAUUUGACUUUUACAAAUUUUACAGUAUUUUUACUUUAUUAUUUGUUUUGUACUGUGGUCACUUUGAGUCUGAAUCUGC
Molecule: long non-coding RNA, 602 nt
Organism: Ictalurus punctatus (channel catfish)
Lineage: Eukaryota; Metazoa; Chordata; Actinopteri; Siluriformes; Ictaluridae
Source: Ensembl